GCUGGCUGCUGAGCACAGGUGGUUUUGGAGGCACAAGAGGAGACCUUGCCAGAUCGUGGCUGUGCCCUCAGUGCUCGGCUCCGUUUGUUUCAAUUAUUUUUCCAGUCAGUGCCAGCAGGGUGGGCAGAACUUCCCAGCUCAGUCACACCAGCCCAAAGUGCACAAUUUGGAGGGACCCGCUGCCUCCAGUCUCCUGUGGGGGAAAGACAGGCAGGAUCAAGCAGGCUGCAGGGAGAGACACUGGGGAAUGGAAACACAGAGAUCAAAAUACCACCCCAACCCAGGGAGAAGAGACUAUUGUAGACACUGUCCACUUUGGCCUGGGGAGGAAGGAUGUAGCCCCAAAAUGGCGAAGACUGGCUUAUCAUUCAAGGUCUGAGGCAGAACAGAGGAUCCUUCUGCUCUCCCGGAGUGGGAAAUACAGAGAAACCUCUUCCCUGUGCUGCUGUAUGGCUCCCAGGAGGCCAUGCUU
Molecule: long non-coding RNA, 472 nt
Organism: Passer montanus (Eurasian tree sparrow)
Lineage: Eukaryota; Metazoa; Chordata; Aves; Passeriformes; Passeridae
Exons: 3
Source: RefSeq, a predicted model, not a curated record